Molecule: ribosomal RNA, 253 nt
Filed under: uncultured prokaryote
Description: partial 16S ribosomal RNA
Rfam family: Bacterial small subunit ribosomal RNA
Source: RNAcentral
UACAGAGGUGGCAAGCGUUGUUCGGAAUUACUGGGCGUAAAGGGCGCGUAGGCGGCCGCUUAAGUCAGACGUGAAAUCCCCACGCUUAACGUGGGAACGGCGUCUGAUACUGGGGGGCUCGAGUUCGGGAGAGGAAUGUGGAAUUCCAGGUGUAGCGGUGAAAUGCGUAGAUAUCUGGAGGAACACCGGUGGCGAAGGCGGCAUUCUGGACCGAAACUGACGCUGAGGCGCGAAAGCCAGGGGAGCAAACGGG